Molecule: unclassified non-coding RNA, 242 nt
Filed under: Cortinarius sp.
Lineage: Eukaryota; Fungi; Basidiomycota; Agaricomycetes; Agaricales; Cortinariaceae
Description: partial internal transcribed spacer region
Rfam family: Eukaryotic small subunit ribosomal RNA (bases 1-46)
Source: RNAcentral
AAGUCGUAACAAGGUUUCCGUAGGUGAACCUGCGGAAGGAUCAUUAUUGAAAUAAACCUGAUGGGUUGCUGCUGGCUCUCUAGGGAGCAUGUGCACGCCUUGUCAUCUUUAUAUCUCCACCUGUGCACUUUUUGUAGGCCUUUCCAGGUCUAUGUCGCUUCAUUAUACCCCAAUUGUAUGUCAAUAGAAUGUUGUGCCUAUAAUAAUUUAUACAACUUUCAGCAACGGAUCUCUUGGCUCUC